GAGCAACACCUGCGCGACAAUCCUCGUCUACAAAGGCUCCACCUACGCCGUCACCAAGCAGUGCAUGACCAAGGUCUAUUGCGACACCCUCAAAGCAUUCGACGCAACCUACAGCGGAGCCACGCUGAGCACCACGUGCUGCCAGGGCGACGGCUGCAACGUCAACGCCGCCCCUCCUCGACCGCCGGGCGCAGCUCACGUGACCCUGGCCCUGCUGGGCGUGGCCACCAGCGUCGUGGUCAGCAGGGCUCUGGUGUAGGUCGUGACGUCACAGCCGCACUCCACCCCCCCCCCCCCACGUGCCUGGGUUGAUCCAAUCACUUUUAAACUUCAAUUCGGUUGUCUCACGACGCUUCCACCAGUGGAGCUGUGCAACGCUGAAAUCGUCUUGAUUGUUGUGUUACGCUGCUAAAAAAAAUGCAACGUACGUAUGUCCAUAACAUAGAGACAAGUAGACUCGUUACACAGAGAGCCAUAGGCUCACCACAUAGAGACCCAUAGACUCAUCACACAGAGACCCAUGGACUCGUCACGCAGAUACCAAAGUGAGGAAUGAUAUUCCAUCAUUUAUAGAGAAACAGGCAGUGGAUCCCGUAAGGCAGAAGAUAAUGGAAAGAUCUUUAACCUGGAGUUGGAACAGGUCACGGAGGGUGUUCAGAGAGUUUGGAGAUGAUUGGGGGGGGGGUGAAAGGAAGUAAUCUACUAUUGGGUGGGGUGGUGUUUGGGGUAGCAGUUUUGCGUGAACCUGACCAAUGGCAUGUUCAAGGUACCGCUCGAUUUAUCGAAUGGGAUGCGUUUCUCUAACAUCUAAAAACAGACUCACGUGCGUGAAACUAAAUUUGUAAUUCGCAAUGGCUUUACGCGUUUGGUUUAAUAUAAAAAAUUCGGGGGUGUGUAUCGGACAGUUAUUCCAACUCAGUUUAACACGUAGGCUUCCGCGACCAAUAUUAUUCAUAAUAAAGGUUUUUGGGUUAGAUCGCGUUUAUUUAUAAAUGUGGCGUAACCCUCCACCACCCGACACGGCCAAUCAGCAAAAAAAAAGUGUCACGUUGACAAAAAACAAAUAAUUCCAACUCGAAAAGAAAAUUGCAAUACACCUUUGUCACAUUUGAGGGUGCAAAAAAAGUGUAAUAACAUUAUUGAAGAACGUGAAUAUUAAA
Molecule: long non-coding RNA, 1160 nt
Organism: Petromyzon marinus (sea lamprey)
Lineage: Eukaryota; Metazoa; Chordata; Hyperoartia; Petromyzontiformes; Petromyzontidae
Source: RefSeq, a predicted model, not a curated record